Molecule: transfer RNA, 73 nt
Filed under: Gemmatimonadota bacterium
Lineage: Bacteria; Pseudomonadati; Gemmatimonadota
Description: Gemmatimonadetes bacterium (freshwater metagenome) tRNA-Lys
Rfam family: tRNA
About the family: Transfer RNA (tRNA) molecules are approximately 80 nucleotides in length. Their secondary structure includes four short double-helical elements and three loops (D, anti-codon, and T loops).
Source: RNAcentral
GCGCCGCUAGCUCAAUUGGCAGAGCAACUGACUCUUAAUCAGUAGGUUCCUGGUUCGAUUCCAGGGCGGCGCA